UACGUAGGGUGCGAGCGUUGUCCGGAAUUAUUGGGCGUAAAGAGCUUGUAGGCGGUUUGUCGCGUCUGCUGUGAAAGCCCGGGGCUUAACCCCGGGUCUGCAGUGGGUACGGGCAGGCUAGAGUGUGGUAGGGGGGACUGGAAUUCCUGGUGUAGCGGUGGAAUGCGCAGAUAUCAGGAGGAACACCGAUGGCGAAGGCAGGUCUCUGGGCCACUACUGACGCUGAGAAGCGAAAGCGUGGGGAGCGAACAGG
RNAcentral lists this ribosomal RNA (253 nucleotides) under uncultured bacterium. Its description in RNAcentral is "partial 16S ribosomal RNA". It matches the Rfam family "Bacterial small subunit ribosomal RNA", at positions 524 to 776 of the family's 1533-position model. The record is from RNAcentral.